RNA transcript from Rosa rugosa (rugosa rose), 1853 nucleotides. RefSeq lists it as uncharacterized. The record is from RefSeq and is a predicted model, not a curated record. The transcript has 5 exons. Lineage: Eukaryota; Viridiplantae; Streptophyta; Magnoliopsida; Rosales; Rosaceae.
CUCCCUCCCUCCCGUUACUGGAGCUCAUCUAACCCUUGUCCAUUCGAACACUCGACCCCUACCAAAAUCUCUCUCUCUCUCUCAAAUUCUCUGCAUCUGGAUUAUCUGUUCGUUCGUGAAGCUCAGAAAUCAAUGGCUUCUUCUUCCUUGAGACCUUCGUCGACGACAACGACAGCGGCCGUGGCAAACAAUGGCGGAGCUGGAAGUUCCGAGAGGCAACAACUCCAUCCUGCUCGGUAAACAACGUCGUAUGUUCCAUCCAAGCUGGCGUCUUCCUCGAAUUCAUGGUUGAAAGAGGAGGCGGCGCCGAUGUUGAGCGUGGAGGCUUCUGCCACAGGUUCGGAGGUGACUGUGGUCGCGGCGGUAGGCGCCGCGGUGCUGGGCCUGAGAGAAUCAUGAAGAUCAUGCCGGUUCAGAAGCAAACCGUUUUGGUUAGAGGGCUUCUUCUGUUCCUCUAUCUCGGCCAUGUUCCCCAACCCCGGUUGGCCGUCCCACAAGGUCUUCAACAAGACGUCGUGGACCGACUUCGAUUACUGCAAAAUCCCGCCAGGUCACUACUCUCCUUCAUCACCAAUCAAUCAAUCUAUCCAAUUCAGUUUGCUUCUAAUUCUGAAUACUAGCCCUUCUUUUUCACUUCUUGGCUGCAUUCUGAACAUGCAUGUUGUUUAUUUGAUUAUUAUGUCUCUCUGUAAAGUUUGGCUUUUUCUAUAGAGAUAAUCAUAAAUUACUGCCCAGCUUUAAUUAUGAGGCUCAUGACUUUAUCAUCUAAAGCUUAUGAAGCUAUACCCUAUGCUUUGUAUAGAAGAUCGAGGCUAGGCUUUCUGGCUUUCUAUUUUUGGUGAAGCUUGUGACCCAAAAUAGGCCUUGCUUUAUAUGGCAACGACAGCAUGGAUUUCUUACAUUGCAUAAUGAUAUUAGUUUAGUGCUUUUAGAUUUGGUCUAUUUUUCCCAAAUGCUUUUAGUAGGUACUAUCUAUAGCUGCUAGCACUCGAUGAAGUUGUAGAAAUGAAGUAAUUAUUCAAACUGGGAGCAUAUAACUUGUAUUCAAAUAUCUCAUAGCUACUGAUUUUGGCAUUUGAUAAUUCCAGGAAUUGUAAUUUCUGUUUUGUAGUUGUGUUGGUAAAUUUCUAUUGGUUCUUUGAUGAUAACUUGAAUAUAUAUCUGAGUGAGGCGGCUAUCAAGGAGGAAAGACAUGAGGCACGGUGCGCUAAAAAGGAAUUGAAGGAACUUUACUGGGGUGAAGCGCAGCAUGCUUAGAGAGUAGAUUCUUAAUUAAUGAGUUUUUGUCAAGUGGUUUUGUUGUGAUGCUUUUUCAUUAUGAUGGUAACGUUGAUGAGUGGAAGCAAUUUUAAUGGAAUGAUCUUGUCAUUUAUGUGUCUGCAGUCAAUCAAACAAAAUGGUGGUUCACAAAGCGUUUCUUACAUCCUGAUAUAGUUGAUCAAUAUAGUCGCAUUCUUCUACAGGAUGAGGACCUUGGAGUUGACAAUUUCAAUCCUCAACGGUAUGUGUCCAUUGUUCGAAAGGAAGGGCUUGAAAUAUCACAACCGGCACUUGAUUUUUCCAAGACAGAGGUGAACUACAUGGAGAAACUUUUAAAAGAGGAGGGGAUUCAGAAGAAACUCAGCAAGGAUAUUUUGCAAUAUAAAGCUCAUAUAAUCAAGAUAUUUGCGGAACAUAGGUACAAUUGGAUCUCUGCAAAUUUAGAGUUUUAGAAAUUUGCCUAAGGCUUAAUUAGGAUGCAAGUCACUGGUGAAUUGUAAACUCCAGUUUAUUAAAUAAAUUAGCUUUUUGUAUAUUUUUAUGAUGUCACUGUUAUGUUUAGUUUUCCUUAAUAAAACAUUACUUUUAUAGAU